GCUGUCUUUACCUGUAUGCCAAUAACGCCCUCUUGGGGGAGGAUCCCUGCGACAGCAAGAGAGGCUUCAUCUGCAAGAAAAAAAAGGCAGAGAAACAUUGACUGGCUCGUAACCAUGCCAUCACCGUAGAGCUGACCUCUGUGCGACCUUUGUCAAAGAGAUUUUCCACCGCCAUCUCAAUGAGGUUUUAUUCUGCUCCCAUAAGAAUUUUGAUUUCGCGAUUGUAUGACUUUUUGGAGGACUAGAUAAGUUUUUUUCCCCCCUUUCCCUUCUGAACAAUAUAUUGACAUGUAUUUUCUUUGCUUCAUUAUGUAACCAAUGAUCCUUUUCAAUGACUGUCCUAAUAAACUUGCUAAGACAAUUGA
Hippocampus comes (tiger tail seahorse) is the source of this 365-nucleotide long non-coding RNA. RefSeq lists it as uncharacterized. The record is from RefSeq and is a predicted model, not a curated record. The transcript has 3 exons. Lineage: Eukaryota; Metazoa; Chordata; Actinopteri; Syngnathiformes; Syngnathidae.